UACGUAGGGUGCGAGCGUUAAUCGGAAUUACUGGGCGUAAAGCGUGCGCAGGCGGCGCGUUAAGACAGGUGUGAAAGCCCCGAGCUUAACUUGGGAAUUGCGCUUGUGACUGGCGUGCUGGAGUGGUGGCAGAGGGAGGUGGAAUUCCACGUGUAGCAGUGAAAUGCGUAGAGAUGUGGAGGAACACCGAUGGCGAAGGCAGCCUCCUGGGCCAGCACUGACGCUCAUGCACGAAAGCGUGGGGAGCAAACAGG
Molecule: ribosomal RNA, 254 nt
Filed under: uncultured bacterium
Lineage: Bacteria
Description: partial 16S ribosomal RNA
Rfam family: Bacterial small subunit ribosomal RNA
Source: RNAcentral